GGAAAGCGGGGCCGGUUCCUUCAGGACCCGCCUCAGGGGGCACCGCGGCGGCUUGGGGACCACUUGGAGCCCCGUCCUGGGGAGAAAACAGCUCACGUCUAUGGCCCUGACUGCUUAGGCGGGAGCUGCGUGCAGCUCAGCUUCUCCGGGGCAUUUUUUUCUACACGGUUAUUGCUCUGUCACCCAGGCUGGAGUUCAGCAGUGCGAUCUUGGCUCAUUGCAGCCUUGAACCUCCCGGGCUCAAGUGAUCCUCCCUCCUCAACCUCCCAAGUAGCUGGGACUACAGGUCUGGGUGAGCUAUGAACAGGCCAACUGCAAGGGCGAGCAGUUUGUGUUUGAGAAGGGCGAGUACGCCCACUGGGACUGGUGGACCAGCAGCCAGAGGACAGACUCAGCAGCCUGAGGCCCAUCAAAGUGGUGACAGCCAAGAGCACAAGAUCAUCCUCUAUGAAAACCCCAACUUCACCGGGAAGAAGAUGGAAAUCAUAGAUGACGAUGUACCCAGCUUCCACGCCCAUGGCUACCAGGAGAAGGUGUCAUCUGUGUGGGUGCGGAGUGGCAUGUGGGUUGGCUACUAGUACCCUGGCUACCGUGGGCUGCAGUACCUGCUGGAGAAGGGAGACUACAAGGACAGCAGCGACUUUGGGGCCCGUCACCCUCAGGUACAGUCCGUGCGCUGCAUCCACGACAUGCAGGGGCACCAAUGUGGUGCCUUCCACCCCUCCAACUAGUGCCCACCCCACCAUGCCUCCUUCCCAGGACCCAGGUCUGCUGCCCAGGAACCCUCCAGACCUCCCAGAGAGUGAAUGAAGUGUGACUUGCAACUUGUCUGCUGUGGGUCUUUGAUCUCCCCUGGCAGCUGGUGUGUGUGUGUGUGUGUGGAAGUUUCUCUUUUCAUCAUCAUGAGUCCUCGAAGGGUGCUGUGUUCUGUCCCUCUCACUCCUGACUGGCAGUGACUCUAAAAAAUGCCCCACCCGUGGGGAGGCCUUGGAAAGUAGAAGUGGAGAUGCAGUCACUGAUCUCGGGAGAAGCUGAAAACACAGUCAUCAGCCCUAGGAGAGGGGUUUUCUGCACUUCCUUGGCCAUCGCUGGCCUCUGGGGUGUUUCAAGUUUUUCUGGAAAACAGGAUCAUUCUGUGGAGUGAGUCUCAGGACCUUGACAUGGGAGGAACAAAACUUUUCUUGCUUUUUUGGUGCACCCUGGGCUGAAAUAAGAAAACCACUAGGGGUGAGUCUUCAAAGCAAAGACAACCCAGGUGAGCGGAGUGGUGGGGUUUUAAAAAAACACAGGUGGAGAGGAGCACGUUCUCUCUCUCAGAUAAGAUCUCAACCAGUGGGGAGAACCAUGCGUGCUCAGGAUGGGAUGCCUGCCUCAGAAUCCCCUGGAAUAUGGAUUUCCACUCCACCCAUCUUCUGCUACAGCAAUGGAAUUGGUUUCUAUCAAGGUGGGACUGAGGUGCUGGGCAGGUUGACCAUCACCUCCCAAGUGAUGAAGCAGCUGGCUGGGGAUGUGGAUGGGAAGGAGCUCAGAGGCUGCCCCAAGCUCCUCCCAGCACGAAGCUGAAAACCAGACCCUUCUGCCCCUAAGAGGCUGUCGAGGGCUUCCUGUCUCCCCUUGUGAGAAAAGAGACUCAGUGAAGCAGGGCUCAUAUUAGUGAAUCUCCAAAGGUAUUCCCAGCUUCCCUGAAGCCGCGGUUCUCAGUGUGUGAACCACAAACCAGCAUCACUGGCAUCACCUGGGGUCUUGUUAGAAAUGCAAGUUCCGAUCAGGAGCCUUGGUUCAGGCCUAUAAUCCCAACACUUUGGGAAACUGAGGUGGGAGGAUCGCUUGAGGCCGGGAAUUCGAGACCAGCCAGGACAACAUGGUAAGACCCCAUCUCUAUA
RNAcentral lists this long non-coding RNA (1883 nucleotides) under Homo sapiens (human). Its description in RNAcentral is "non-protein coding lnc-GRK3-7:4". Lineage: Eukaryota; Metazoa; Chordata; Mammalia; Primates; Hominidae. The record is from RNAcentral.